UUAUUUUUUUCAAAAAAAAAAUAUUAUUUUUAAUAUAAUAUAUUUUUUAUUAUUCAUUUAUAUAUUUAUUUUUUUUAUAAAUAUAUAAUUAUAUGUUUUUUUUAAUAAUUACUUUAUUAAACAAUUUUUUGUGUUUCUUCCUAUAAUUCAUUAUAAUUAUAUUAUAUUAUAUUAUAUUUUUCUUCUUCUCUUUUUUUUUCUUUUCAUAUAUAUAAUAUUUCUUCUGAUCAUCUUCUUCGCUUAUAAUUAUAAUUUUAUAUUUUCAUUAAAUCGAUUGAAUAUUUUUCUUUUCUUUUAUAAUAUGUUCGGUAGAUAUAUGUCAGAUUUUCGUACGAUAUUAUGAUUUUCUCCUUAACAAAAUAAUCCUGUAUUCAUUUAAAUAAUGCUUUUUCAUAAAUCCUUAAUCAGUAAGUUCUAUAAAGAUCAUUGUUAUAAUUUUUAUAAGUUCUUCUGGUUUGUUUCUCUAUUUUAUGUAUUAUAUUUUCUUUUGUCCUUAUGAAUGUUGAACGUAUUUUAAAAAAAAUGUUUUUCUUUUUUUUUUUUUUUUUAAGAUACCUUUAAAACUAUAAUAUUACCAAUCAUUAUGUUACUUCCUGUUCAUUAUUUCUGUCUAUGAAUUGUUCUAAAAUAUUGUUCUUUUCCAAUAUUGGAAUAAAUAUUUUUAUAUUUAAUUAUUUAUUAUAUCUUAUUUUAUUUUUUUUUAUUUCUUUGGGUGUUCGAAUGAAAUAUGUAUUGCAUUAAAAUAAAUAAGAGAUUCAUCUUAUGAUUUAUUAAUUAAAAUAUAUAUAUAUAUAUAUAUAUAUAUAUAUAUAUAAUAAUUAUAUGAAUUAUAAUUACGAAAUAUUUCAAGUGUCAUGAAUAUUAAAUAUAUAUUUGAAAUUUAUGCAUGGCUUAUGUAUUAUCAAGUGAAAUGUAUAAAUCCGUGAUACAAUUCUCUUAAACAAAUUCGUACUUUUCUAAAUCAUAUUCAUGUAUAUAUAUUUCAAGCACAUCUCAUUAUAUGCUAAGCAAUUUUUUUUCCUUCCAUAAUCGCAAUAAGCUAACUUUUUUCUUUUCUUUUCCUUUCCUUAUUUUUAUUUAGUUCAAUAAUAUCUUCGUAAGAUAUUUUGUAUAAUAAGCUAUAAUUUUCUUUUUAUAUAAUUAUUUUGUCUUUAUAAGAAAAAGAAAAAAAAAAUACCAUUUGUAUACAAAAUAAAUUAUUAAAUUAAAUCAUGUU
Molecule: non-coding RNA, 1216 nt
Organism: Plasmodium blacklocki (nom. inval.)
Lineage: Eukaryota; Apicomplexa; Aconoidasida; Haemosporida; Plasmodiidae
Source: the annotation of a GenBank genome assembly